Molecule: small nucleolar RNA, 78 nt
Organism: Gymnodraco acuticeps
Lineage: Eukaryota; Metazoa; Chordata; Actinopteri; Perciformes; Bathydraconidae
Product: small nucleolar RNA SNORD72
Exons: 1
Source: RefSeq, a predicted model, not a curated record
UGCUUGCCGAUGAUGUUGAAAAAUAAAUGUCUGAACAAUUGAUUCAAAAUGAUAUCAGUGAUUUCUCUGAGGUAAGCA